AGUGAACGCUGGCGGCAGGCCUAACACAUGCAAGUCGAACGGCAGCACAGUAAGAGCUUGCUCUUACGGGUGGCGACGGGCGGAUGGGUGAGAAAUACAUCGCAAUCUACUUUUUCUAGGGUGAGAACGUGGGGACACUUACGCUAAUAGCGCAUACGACCUACGGGUGAAAUCAGCGGAUCUUCGGACCUUGGGUGAUUCUAGGAGCGGAUGUCGGAUUAGCUAGUUGGCGGGGUAAAGGCCCACCAAGGCGACGAUCCGUAGCUGGUCUGAGAGGAUGAUCAGCCACACUGGAACUGAGACACGGUCCAGACUCCUACGGGAGGCAGCAGUGGGGAAUAUUGGACAAUGGGCGCAAGCCUGAUCCAGCCAUGCCGCGUGGGUGAAGAAGGCCUUCGGGUUGUAAAGCCCUUUUGUUGGGAAAGAAAAGCAGCAGGUUAAUACCCCGCUGUUCUGACGGUACCCAAAGAAUAAGCACCGGCUAACUUCGU
RNAcentral lists this ribosomal RNA (491 nucleotides) under uncultured bacterium. Its description in RNAcentral is "partial 16S ribosomal RNA". It matches the Rfam family "Bacterial small subunit ribosomal RNA", at positions 29 to 506 of the family's 1533-position model. The record is from RNAcentral.